RNAcentral lists this ribosomal RNA (356 nucleotides) under uncultured bacterium. RNAcentral describes it as "bacterial SSU rRNA". It matches the Rfam family "Bacterial small subunit ribosomal RNA", at positions 917 to 1275 of the family's 1533-position model. The record is from RNAcentral.
GGGCCCGCACAAGCGGCGGAGCAUGCGGAUUAAUUCGAUGCAACGCGAAGAACCUUACCUGGGUUUGACAUCUGCCGGAAAGCUGCAGAGAUGUGGCCUCCCUUUGGGCCGGUUGACAGGUGGUGCAUGGCUGUCGUCAGCUCGUGUCGUGAGAUGUUGGGUUAAGUCCCGCAACGAGCGCAACCCUUGUCCUAUGUUGCCAGCAAUUCGGUUGGGGACUCAUAGGAGACUGCCGGGGUCAACUCGGAGGAAGGUGGGGAUGACGUCAAGUCAUCAUGCCCCUUAUGUCCAGGGCUUCACGCAUGCUACAAUGGCCGGUACAAAGAGCUGCGAGCCUGUGAGGGUGAGCGAAUCUC